Molecule: non-coding RNA, 80 nt
Filed under: unclassified sequences
Source: RNAcentral
CCUGAAAAGCCGCCGGGUUUUUGAGUCUUGGUCCCAUUCCGUUAGGCCUUUGAAGGAAUGGUGACGGGGCGCUUUAUUUU